UGGGGAAUAUUGCACAAUGGGCGCAAGCCUGAUGCAGCCAUGCCGCGUGUGUGAAGAAGGCCUUCGGGUUGUAAAGCACUUUCAGCGGGGAGGAAGGCGGUGAGGUUAAUAACCUCAUCGAUUGACGUUACCCGCAGAAGAAGCACCGGCUAACUCCGUGCCAGCAGCCGCGGUAAUACGGAGGGUGCAAGCGUUAAUCGGAAUUACUGGGCGUAAAGCGCACGCAGGCGGUCUGUCGAGUCGGAUGUGAAAUCCCCGGGCUCAACCUGGGAACUGCAUUCGAAACUGGCAGGCUAGAGUCUUGUAGAGGGGGGUAGAAUUCCAGGUGUAGCGGUGAAAUGCGUAGAGAGCUGGAGGAAUACCGGUGGCGAAGGCGGCCCCCUGGACAAAGACUGACGCUCAGGUGCGAAAGCGUGGGGAGCAAACAGG
RNAcentral lists this ribosomal RNA (429 nucleotides) under Chloroflexota bacterium. RNAcentral describes it as "Chloroflexi bacterium partial 16S ribosomal RNA". It matches the Rfam family "Bacterial small subunit ribosomal RNA", at positions 355 to 776 of the family's 1533-position model. The record is from RNAcentral. Lineage: Bacteria; Bacillati; Chloroflexota.